RNAcentral lists this ribosomal RNA (43 nucleotides) under Pyrenochaeta sp. RNAcentral's name for it is "partial 28S ribosomal RNA". RNAcentral also lists the same sequence under 1 other name. The record is from RNAcentral. Lineage: Eukaryota; Fungi; Ascomycota; Dothideomycetes; Pleosporales; Cucurbitariaceae.
UCUUGACCUCGGAUCAGGUAGGGAUACCCGCUGAACUUAAGCA